UACGAAGGGGGCUAGCGUUGCUCGGAAUGACUGGGCGUAAAGGGCGCGUAGGCGGACGGCUUUGUCGGGCGUGAAAUUCCAGGGCUUAACCUUGGGGCUGCGUUCGAGACGGGUUGUCUAGAGUUUGGAGGAGGGUCGUGGAAUUCCCAGUGUAGAGGUGAAAUUCGUAGAUAUUGGGAAGAACACCGGUGGCGAAGGCGGCGACCUGGUCCUUGACUGACGCUGAGGCGCGAAAGUGUGGGGAGCAAACAGG
RNAcentral lists this ribosomal RNA (253 nucleotides) under uncultured bacterium. RNAcentral's name for it is "partial 16S ribosomal RNA". It matches the Rfam family "Bacterial small subunit ribosomal RNA", at positions 524 to 776 of the family's 1533-position model. The record is from RNAcentral.